GACGAACGCUGGCGGCGCGCCUAACACAUGCAAGUCGAACGAGCGAGAGAGAGCUUGCUUUCUCGAGCGAGUGGCGAACGGGUGAGUAACGCGUGAGGAACCUGCCUCAAAGAGGGGGACAACAGUUGGAAACGACUGCUAAUACCGCAUAAGCCCACGGGUCGGCAUCGACCAGAGGGAAAAGGAGCAAUCCGCUUUGAGAUGGCCUCGCGUCCGAUUAGCUGGUUGGUGAGGUAACGGCCCACCAAGGCGACGAUCGGUAGCCGGACUGAGAGGUUGAACGGCCACAUUGGGACUGAGACACGGCCCAGACUCCUACGGGAGGCAGCAGUGGGGAAUAUUGCACAAUGGGGGAAACCCUGAUGCAGCGACGCCGCGUGGAGGAAGAAGGUCUUCGGAUUGUAAACUCCUGUUGUUGGGGAAGAUAAUGACGGUACCCAACAAGGAAGUGACGGCUAACUACGUGCCAGCAGCCGCGGUAAAACGUAGGUCACAAGCGUUGUCCGGAAUUACUGGGUGUAAAGGGAGCGCAGGCGGGAAGACAAGUUGGAAGUGAAAUCUAUGGGCUCAACCCAUAAACUGCUUUCAAAACUGUUUUUCUUGAGUAGUGCAGAGGUAGGCGGAAUUCCCGGUGUAGCGGUGGAAUGCGUAGAUAUCGGGAGGAACACCAGUGGCGAAGGCGGCCUACUGGGCACCAACUGACGCUGAGGCUCGAAAGUGUGGGUAGCAAACAGGAUUAGAUACCCUGGUAGUCCACACCGUAAACGAUGAUUAAUGGGUGUUGGAGGAUUGACCCCUUCAGUGCCGCAGGUAACACAAUAAGUAAUCCACCUGGGGAGUACGACCGCAAGGUUGAAACUCAAAGGAAUUGACGGGGGCCCGCACAAGCAGUGGAGUAUGUGGUUUAAUUCGACGCAACGCGAAGAACCUUACCAAGUCUUGACAUCCCUUGACAGACAUAGAAAUAUGUAUUCUCUUCGGAGCAAGGAGACAGGUGGUGCAUGGUUGUCGUCAGCUCGUGUCGUGAGAUGUUGGGUUAAGUCCCGCAACGAGCGCAACCCUUAUGGUCAGUUACUACGCAAGAGGACUCUGGCCAGACUGCCGUUGACAAAACGGAGGAAGGUGGGGAUGACGUCAAAUCAUCAUGCCCUUUAUGACUUGGGCUACACACGUACUACAAUGGCGUUAAACAAAGAGAAGCAAGACCGCGGGGUGGAGCGAAACUCAGAAACAACGUCCCAGUUCGGACUGCAGGCUGCAACUCGCCUGCACGAAGUCGGAAUUGCUAGUAAUCGUGGAUCAGCAUGCCACGGUGAAUACGUUCCCGGGCCUUGCAC
RNAcentral lists this ribosomal RNA (1337 nucleotides) under uncultured bacterium. Its description in RNAcentral is "16S ribosomal RNA". It matches the Rfam family "Bacterial small subunit ribosomal RNA", at positions 28 to 1386 of the family's 1533-position model. The record is from RNAcentral.